This 1129-nucleotide long non-coding RNA is filed under the name Mus spicilegus (steppe mouse). RNAcentral's name for it is "lncRNA (ENSMSIG00000010528.1)". The record is from RNAcentral. Lineage: Eukaryota; Metazoa; Chordata; Mammalia; Rodentia; Muridae.
UUCCACUGCUGUGAUAAACACCAUGAACAAAAGCAACUGAGGAGGGAAGGACUUAUUUCAGCAUGUAGCUCUCAGAUCACACUCCUUCACUGAAGGAGGUCUGGGAAAACCCAAGGCAGGAAUCUGGAGCUGAUGCAGAGGCCAUGAAGGAACACUGCUCACUGGCUUGCUCCUGGGUUGUUCAGUCCACUCCUGUAUUCCUCCCAAGACCACCUUCCCAGAGUAUCACUGGCCAAAGGCAACGGGGCUCUGCCACAUCUGUCAACAGUGUAGAAAAUACAGCACAGGCUUGCCUAUCUGAUGGAGGCACUUCCUGAAGAUUUCCUCUUCACAGACAAACCUAGCCUAUGUCAAGCUGACAUAAAAAUGAGCCGGCAGCCAGCCCUUGAGGAACUUGGCUCCUUUUUUUUUUUUUAUUGAAAAGGAGAGGAAGAGUCUCAUUCUUUAAGAUUCCCAGAAAGUAGCCGGGCAUGGUGGCACACGCCUUUAAUCCCAGCACUUGGGAGGCAAAGGCAGGCGGAUUUCUGAGUUCGAGGCCAGCCUGGUCUACAAAGUGAGUUCCAGGACAGCCAGGGCUACAUAGGGAAACCCUAUCUCGAAAAAAAAUGGAAAAAUAAAAGAUUCCCAGAAAGUAAAAUGCUGUAGUACUCUGCUAGUGUUUACCAUAUAGCCAAGAAAACAAGUUAGGUUUCUGUUUCAUUUGCUACAUCACACACACACACACACACACACACACACACACACACACGCACGCACACACACACUUGUGGCUGGGAGACCACAGCCAGAUUCUGAAUGGCCCCUCUCUACAUAUACAUCUGGAUUUUUUGUGUCAAAAGGAGUAUGCAUGUUCAGACUUCCAAGCUCCUUGUCCUGUUGCCAUGGAAACAUUCAGGCUUCCAGAACUCUAGGCUCAGGGUCUGCCCCCUGUGGUGCAGGGGAGGAGAGGAGAGUUGACAGGCUCCCAAGAACCUGCUUAAAAUGGGGUUUCCAGGCCCUGACGUCAGAGGAAAGCCAGCAGCUCCCUCUAGCCGGUGCCAGCUCUACCGUGAUUAGCAGAGCUAAGUUCAGCCUUGCUCAGCCUACUGGAAAGCUAACAGGGAUUGGAGGGAGGAACUUGGGACUCUAA